RNAcentral lists this ribosomal RNA (570 nucleotides) under uncultured bacterium. Its description in RNAcentral is "bacterial SSU rRNA". It matches the Rfam family "Bacterial small subunit ribosomal RNA", at positions 9 to 526 of the family's 1533-position model. The record is from RNAcentral.
GAGUUUGAUCCUGGCUCAGAGUGAACGCUGGCGGCGUGGAUUAGGCAUGCAAGUCGAGCGAUCCUUGUUACUGAUGGAGAUUGAAGCUUCGGCUGAUAUCUUUUGAUGUAACGCGGGAUAGCGGCAAACGGGUGAGUAACGCGUGGGUAACCUACCUUGAGGAGGAGGACAGCUUCGCGAAAGCGGAGGUAAUACUCCAUGCUACUUUAGAUUGAUUUUCUAAAGUCAAAGAUGGCCUCUAUUUAUAAGCUGUCACCUUAAGAGGGGCCCGCGUCCUAUCAGGUUGUUGGUGGGGUAAAAGCCUACCAAGCCGAAGACGGGUAGCUGACGUAAGAGCGUGACCAGCCACAUCGGGACUGAGACACUGCCCCGACUCCUACGGGAGGCUGCAGUCGAGAAUAUUUCCCAAUGGACGCAAGUCUGAGGAUGCGACGCCGCGUGGAGGAUGACGGCCUUCGGGUUGUAAACUCAUUUUAUUGAGGAGGACGUUAUUAGCUUAAUAAGCUUUUAAUCUGACUGUACUCGACGAAUAAGCCACGGCUAACUCCGUGCCAGCAGCCGCGGUAAUAC